UUUCUCCUCUCGUCUGAAUUCGCGAUUCAAUCACCUCCAACAUCAAAUUACUAAUUCAUCAAAUUCUUAACCACCAAUAUUGCACCCAUAUGGAAUUGACUGGUUCUAGACUAUCACAACUAUCCAAUCAGGUCAUACUAGUUUCAUGGACACUUGGGAGUGUUUUAUUUAUUCAGUUUGCAGGAGGCUCAAAGUUUUAACCUCUACGUCAGUAUUCCUUUAAUUACCACCAUUGGAGGAUUUAUUUCAAAAGCAUUAACAUCUUGUUCCUUACAUUUAUUUGCAGCUUAUUGUUAUCCCACUCCAGCAACCAUCCUACGGUCUUGAAGGGAGAGAAAUAGAGGAGACAAAUGCUUCUCCAUUUGGGGAUUUUAGGGUAUAAAAGUAGUUACUCAUGUUAUGUGCGACCAUGAAAAAAAAAAUUGUUGAGUCAUUUUUGUUUGUGUAACCUGCAAUUGAAGGUCAUUUUGAAGGGACCAUGGGUGCACCCUUAAAAAUAGGGACCAUAUUAGGGGCACCCCAUAAA
RNAcentral lists this long non-coding RNA (526 nucleotides) under Medicago truncatula (barrel medic). RNAcentral describes it as "long non-coding RNA (MTRU_LNC005026)". The record is from RNAcentral. Lineage: Eukaryota; Viridiplantae; Streptophyta; Magnoliopsida; Fabales; Fabaceae.